Molecule: ribosomal RNA, 497 nt
Filed under: uncultured bacterium
Lineage: Bacteria
Description: partial 16S ribosomal RNA
Rfam family: Bacterial small subunit ribosomal RNA
Source: RNAcentral
GAUGAACGCUGGCGGCGUGCCUAAUACAUGCAAGUCGAGCGAACGGACGAGAAGCUUGCUUUUCUGAUGUUAGCGGCGGACGGGUGAGUAACACGUGGAUAACCUACCCAUAAGACUGGGAUAACUUCGGGAAACCGGAGCUAAUACCGGAUAAUAUUUUGAACCGCAUGGUUCAAAAGUGAAAGACGGUCUUGCUGUCACUUAUAGAUGGAUCCGCGCUGCAUUAGCUAGUUGGUAAGGUAACGGCUUACCAAGGCAACGAUGCAUAGCCGACCUGAGAGGGUGAUCGGCCACACUGGAACUGAGACACGGUCCAGACUCCUACGGGAGGCAGCAGUAGGGAAUCUUCCGCAAAGGGCGAAAGCCUGACGGAGCAACGCCGCGUGAGUGAUGAAGGUCUUCGGAUCGUAAAACUCUGUUAUUAGGGAAGAACAUAUGUGUAAGUAACUGUGCACAUCUUGACGGUACCUAAUCAGAAAGCCACGGCUAACUACGUG